This 235-nucleotide ribosomal RNA is filed under the name uncultured bacterium. RNAcentral's name for it is "partial 16S ribosomal RNA". It matches the Rfam family "Bacterial small subunit ribosomal RNA", at positions 99 to 334 of the family's 1533-position model. The record is from RNAcentral.
CGGACGGGUGAGUAACGCGUGGGUAACCUGCCUUGUACUGGGGGACAACAGUUAGGAAUGACUGCUAAUACCGCAUAAGCGCACAGUAUCGCAUGAUACAGUGUGAAAAACUCCGGUGGUACAAGAUGGACCCGCGUCUGAUUAGCUAGUUGGUAAGGUAACGGCUUACCAAGGCGACGAUCAGUAGCCGACCUGAGAGGGUGACCGGCCACAUUGGGACUGAGACACGGCCCAA